RNAcentral lists this long non-coding RNA (222 nucleotides) under Setaria viridis. RNAcentral describes it as "long non-coding RNA (SVIR_LNC010256)". The record is from RNAcentral. Lineage: Eukaryota; Viridiplantae; Streptophyta; Magnoliopsida; Poales; Poaceae.
CUGGGCAACCCCAUGGUGAUGCACUGGGUCGGAUGAAGCCUUUUUCCAACAGAUCAUGCAACUGGGUCUUCAACUCGGCCAGCUCAGCUGGUGGCAUCCGAUAGGGUCUCUUGGAUAUUGGAGCGGUGCCGGGAACCAAAUCUAUGGAAAACUCCACAUCUCUAUCGGGUGGCAUGCCGGGCAAGUCUUUUGGAAACACAUCCGGGUACUCACAGACAACAG